Molecule: long non-coding RNA, 446 nt
Filed under: Gallus gallus (chicken)
Lineage: Eukaryota; Metazoa; Chordata; Aves; Galliformes; Phasianidae
Source: RNAcentral
CACAAACAGGGCGCGCUCAGCCCCCGUCGCGGUGCUUUAUUGCGGGUCGAAGCGCAGCCCCCGUUGCCGCAGGUCGGCCCUGGCCAUGGCGAUGUGCUCCUGCAGUUCGGCCGCCGCCUCCUCGCAGUCGUUGAAGGUGGCCAAACGGAAACCCACGGUGGCCAAGGAGAAGCAGCCGAAGGCCACCAGCAGGUAGACGGGCAGGGGGAGCAGAGCCUGCCGGUACGGCGCCGGGAGCUGCAGGCCGGCCGGGGACAGAGCCAGGGCGGCCCAGGCGGAGCCCAGCAGGGCCAGGACGCACAGCCACUGAGCCAGCUUGGUCAUGGCGGCCUUCAGCGCUCCCAACGUGGCGCGCCCUCCUCCCGUCGCGCCGUGACGUCAGCACAGCGCGCCGCGCCGCGCGGGGGCCGCUGGGAGCUGUAGUACGGCAGCGCGGCGCCACGUCG